This is a long non-coding RNA of Alosa sapidissima (American shad), 1229 nucleotides long. RefSeq lists it as uncharacterized. The record is from RefSeq and is a predicted model, not a curated record. Lineage: Eukaryota; Metazoa; Chordata; Actinopteri; Clupeiformes; Clupeidae. The transcript is spliced from 2 exons.
GGAGGAUGGCUGUAGCGAUGCUGUCAGCUCUGCCAUAAGCAGUGACUGUGAUUACGUUUGCACAUUUUGAAAAUGUUGUUUUUCUUUCUUUUGCAUUCUUUUCCACUUCAUUGUUGUAUAGUUUGUAUAAUGUUUGUUAAAGUUGCACACAUUAAUUCACUGUUCUUAUUUGUAAAAAAUUGUAUAGCGUGGUAUAGUUUGUAUGGUGGAGUCUUUAUUGUAUCGUACAAACAAGAACACCCCACCCCACCAUACCACUUUGACUAACCAAUUUUCUGCGGGAAACCCUGGAGGCUUUCUACAGGUAUUCUGUGAAACAUAGGGGUUUCUAUGGUAGUGGUUGCUAAGCUAUUGCUAGGGUAACUGAGAAGGUUGCUAUGGUGUUGCUACAGGAUAUAUAGUGGUUGCUAUGCAGGUUUAUAGGGUAAUCAUGUUGGUUGCUAGGUUGGUGAUAGAGUAACUGAGAAGGGUGUUGCUAGAGUAGAUAUGGUGGUGGCUAUACUAAAUUAAGUGGUUGCUAUGCUGGUUGCUAGGGUAAUUGAGAUGGUUGCGAGGCUAGUCAUGUUGGUUGACUAUCAAAGUGGUUGCUAGGUUGGCAUUGUACAGGUGGUUGCUAGGGUGUUGCUAGGGUAGAUAUGGUGGUUGCUAUUCCAAAUAAAGUGAUUGCUAUGCUGGUUGCAAGGUUAAUCAUGUUGGUUGCAAUGGUGGUUGCUCGGUUGACAUUGUGGUGGUAGUUGUGAGGUUGUUGGUAGGGUAAUUAAUAUGGUUGCUAGGUUGUUGCUAUGGUUCUUAUGUUGGUUGCUAGGUUGUUGCUAGGGUAACUUAGAAGAAUUUUGUUCAGCUAAUACAUUUUGGCCUACACUAUUAAGGGACAGCUGAAUUGACCAUCUAAACCAUAUAUUUUCUUAAAGCCUAUAGUCUGUAGAUGUCAAUUAAUAUGAAUUAAGACAUGUCCAACAUUCCUACUUACUUUGGUGCAUCAUAUAGGCUUAAGCAAUACUGCUAUUUUUGCUCUUAGACUAUAAAAAUCCAUAAUCACUUUAAAAACGCUAAUUUUUUAGUUUUUGAAAGUCAAUUUCUUUAAAUCAUGCUUGAAAUUGUAACCAUAUUCUUUAUUGAGUUAUGUUAAUUGACUAUAAUACUAUUGUAUUGUCAUCCUUCUUUGGGACUUGAGUACUUCAAUAUCCCCUUCAUGUAUCAAUGUACAUUAAAGCAUCUUUGAUAGUAAA